Molecule: non-coding RNA, 179 nt
Filed under: Alphaproteobacteria bacterium
Lineage: Bacteria; Pseudomonadati; Pseudomonadota; Alphaproteobacteria
Description: 6S RNA
Rfam family: 6S / SsrS RNA
About the family: E. coli 6S RNA was the first non coding RNA to be sequenced, but its function was unknown until recently. It consists of 184 nucleotides that fold into an extended hairpin structure with a large single-stranded internal bulge.
Source: RNAcentral
UGGCCUCUGCCUGGUUCGUGACUCGAUGGAAGUGGCGUUCCUCCGUGCUUGAUCCUUUAGGAUCGAUCCCUCGCCGUGGUGUGCAUACCUUCAUGGUAAGGAAGCCUGAAGCGGCGAUAUCGGGUUCCCUCUUGAUAAGAGGAGGACCUGCUCCCUCUCCGACGGCCAGGCGGUGCCAC